Molecule: ribosomal RNA, 442 nt
Filed under: uncultured bacterium
Lineage: Bacteria
Description: bacterial SSU rRNA
Rfam family: Bacterial small subunit ribosomal RNA
Source: RNAcentral
AACGCGAAGAACCUUACCUGGGCUCGAAAUGCAGGAGACCGGGGUAGAAAUAUCCUUUCCCCGCAAGGGGCUGCUGUAUAGGUGCUGCAUGGCUGUCGUCAGCUCGUGUCGUGAGAUGUUGGGUUAAGUCCCGCAACGAGCGCAACCCUUAUUGCCAGUUACCACCGGGUUAUGCCGAGCACUCUGGCGAAACCGCACAGGAUAACUGUGAGGAAGGUGGGGAUGACGUCAAGUCCUCAUGGCCUUUAUGUCCAGGGCUACACACGUGCUACAAUGGUCGGUACAAACCGUCGCAAACCCGCGAGGGGGAGCUAAUCGGAAAAAGCCGGCCUCAGUUCGGAUUGGAGUCUGCAACCCGACUCCAUGAAGCUGGAAUCGCUAGUAAUCGCGGAUCAGAACGCCGCGGUGAAUACGUUCCCGGGCCUUUGUACACACCGCAUAC